GUUCUCUUUACGCCUCCUCAUAUAAAUAGGAUUUAGUGAAACAUGUGAUGAGCCAUCUUUGGUGAGUAUAGUUGGGUUCUUGCCAAAUAUCCCAUUUUACUUGGGUCAAACAACAAUAUAGGAUAUAUAUCAUAAAGGGUUUAUAUAAAACUGUACAGGUGUUAUUUUGUGGCUCAUGCAUAGCGUUUCUUAAAAGUACAAUGCAAAAAUACUACCUUGUUACAAGGCAUUUGCCUGCACAAGAAUUUCUGUAGAAUUAUGUUUUUAAAUAGGGACGAUUCUGCACUCUACGAACCAAUCAAGCGGUAAAUAUGGAUUUAGAUACAUGCAAUUAUGGAUGCAACACACAUCAUGACUGAUGUUAAAAAUUCAUGAAUGUUAAACUCAGGGUUUCUGCCCAUAAAGCACCCAUGGGCAGUACUUCUGAGGUUGGGAGCAUCAACGAAAGUGUUGAAGGGACACUAUAGUCACCAAACAACUUUAGCUUAAUGAAGCCAUUUUUGUGUAUAGGUUAUGCACCUGCAGUCUCACUGCACAACUCUCUGCCAUUUAGGAGUUAAAUCACUUCUGUAUCUUUUUAUGCAGCCCUAGACUCGCCUCUUAUGGCUGUAGCUCAUGCAGCCUGCAUAAAAAAAAAAAUGGUUACAUUUUCGAUCAUAAGUUUUUAUCUCCUGCUUUGUUACUGGAACUUUUAUCGCAUACAGGAGACUCCUGCAGGUUCUAGCAAGCUAUUAACAAUGCAGGAGAUAAGACAUUUUUAAAUUAAACAGACUGUGCAAUAAUGGAAGUGUAAACAUAAGAUCUCAUCUUACAGGAAGUGUUUAGGAAGGCUGUGUAAGUCACAUGCAGGGAGGUGUGACAAGCCCAAAAACAAAGUGAGUUAACUCCUAAAUGGUAGAUAAUUGAGCUGUGAGACUGCAGGGGCAUGAUGCUAUGUCUUGGUUCCUAACAUGUCCCUUUAAGUUACUGUUAGCAAUCAAUGCCACACCUAAGUAAUAAUGGGUUUGGCAUACCCAAAAGGGUGUUUUUCUUCAACCAAUAAAAGUGCUAAACUGACUUUUUUUUUUACCAGGAUCUGGACUAGUGACAGACGUGGAAUGGGUGGAUUUUUUCUCUCCCCCACUGGUUUUUAUGGGAGAGAAAACGAAUGGCUUCGAAUAACAUUUAACCCCCAUUAACACCCUCUAGCGAGCAUCAUUGGAUUAGGAGAGUCAGCUAUAUCCAGUAAUGGCUGGUUGUUGUUUUUUUAGUUUUCUUUUCUGCUGUCGAUGUAUGGAGUUAAAUUCAUCAGCAGGAAUACAACAGAAGCAAGCUGUUUGAAGUUUAUAUAAAUUGUGGAAUUAAUGCAAUGCAAUUAAAUAACACCACCACCCAUCUGCAUUAUAUUGUAGGCUAUUUUGGGCAAAAUGUUCUAUUUAUAACGCAUUGCAUGUUACAGUUUAAUAAUUUCACAAAUGGUUUUUAGGAUUGUACUCAAGGGUGCAUUUUUCGUAACUGUGACUUAUUGUUGUGAGUACAAUAGGAACCAUGCAGAGUCUAUUUUAACUCCUUCUCCUCUGCAUACAUCAUCAGAAUGUGCGAUGUUCUACAGGGCUGACAAGCCUACUAUAAUAUCUAUGUUUCCAUUACAGGGCAAACUAAAAUAGCAAGAACACUAUAGAGAUGCCUGCUGGAUCUCUCACAAUUUUCAGACAUUUAAUAUAUAAUACACAGUGAACAUUGUAUCAAAAAGCUUGCAAUCAUUUUUUGUUUGAUUAGAAAACAUUGUUUCUACCUCUGCGGUAAAGGGGAAUACUUUGUAUUAAUUCAUUAUGUUGGGGGCAUUGCUAAAUACAAAAAAGACAAACACCUGGGGCGUAAGCCAAAUCAAAAAAGCUACACCUCUAUUGCUCUACCUCUUUUCUGCUGCUCUUCUACCUUCCUUGCACUCUCUUAGCAAGUUAAAGGUACUCUUCUAUUCAUGUACAAUGUUCUCUGCCAUUUAUUGGUGUUUUUACGGGGGGGGGGGGGGCAAUGCCUUGCCUACCGUGUGCCAUCCUAUCAAACUGCUACCACUUUAAGACCAUCAGUUUUUUUCUCAUCUAGAUUGAGACCUGGCAGCUCAUGUACUCCCUGCCAUGUCUAUUCACAAACAGGAAUAUACAUAGGACACAAGGUCAUGCAUUUAGACUGGAAGAAAGAAGAUUUAGUCUAAGGCAAAGGAAAGUUUUUUUUUACCGUAAGAACAAUAAGGAUGUGGAAUUAUCUGCCUAAAGAAAUGGUUUUAUUAGAGUCCGUGCAGAUGUUUAAACAGCAACUAGAUGCAUACUUGCAAAUACAUAAUAUUCAAUUAUAUAAUUUUUCAACUGUAGGGUAAUAGCUUUUUGAUCCAAGGAUAAAUCUGACUGCCAUUCAGGGGUCAAGAUGGAAUUUGUAUUUUAGUUUUUUGCUAAAUUGGAAGUGCUUCAAACUGGGGGGUUUUGCCUUCAUUUGGAUCAACAGCAAAAAUCAUAUGUGAGGAAGGUUGAACUUGAUGGACACAUGUAUCUUCAGCCUACGUAACUACGUCUCUUUAUCAGUUUCCUAGAGGGGGUGCAAUGUGUGGAAUGAGACAGAAAUCACAUCCCUUUCUCUCUACACAUCCAGAAAGCUCCUACUACGUGUCAGGUAUGGGGAGGGGCAGGAUGCCUGAAGGAGGAAACAGCUAUGUGAUGGCUUUAAUGGCAAACUGCUGGCAGGAUAGGGAGGGAGCUGCACCCAUUACAGCCCCUAUACUUAAUACAGUCCAUUGCACCCACUAAACCCACUUACAGUCAAUUGCACCCACUACUACCUUUGUUACCCCCUGAAGCCACCAAAGCCCCCAUUACUCUCUGCACCAUCUACAGCACCUAACCUUCCUCUAUACCGACUACAGACCUGCAACUACUACUCAUAUGACUUUGUGAUGGAAAUUAUUAGUGCCCCCCCCUGUUUUGACUGUGGCAUCUUCAUGCCCCACCCCCCAUGUAGUCCUAGAGUUGCCACUGCUGAUAUUGUCUCUUUUCAGUCUACGAUUUCCUUUCCAUCUUCUCACCAUCUCUCUUACAUCCUAACUCCCACCCAUUUGAUCUGCUCUUCCAUGUUCCCUCACUAUUUUUUUCCCAAUCACUUUCUGCACAUCUCUUGACUACCCCAUGAUCUUCGUUUCAUCCCUCUUCCCACAUCUUGCUCUUCUGCCUUCACAGCUCUGUCAGUCUCCC
This 3221-nucleotide long non-coding RNA is filed under the name Pelobates cultripes (western spadefoot toad). Lineage: Eukaryota; Metazoa; Chordata; Amphibia; Anura; Pelobatidae. The record is from RNAcentral.